UCUGAAUAUGGGGGGACCAUCCUCCAAGGCUAAAUACUCCUGACUGACCGAUAGUGAACCAGUACCGUGAGGGAAAGGCGAAAAGAACCCCGGCGAGGGGAGUGAAAAAGAACCUGAAACCGUGUACGUACAAGCAGUGGGAGCACAGGUUUACCUGUGUGACUGCGUACCUUUUGUAUAAUGGGUCAGCGACUUAUAUUCUGUAGCAAGGUUAACCGUAUAGGGGAGCCGGAGGGAAACCGAGUCUUAACCGGGCGUUAAGUUGCAGGGUAUAGACCCGAAACCCGGUGAUCUAGCCAUGGGCAGGUUGAAGGUUGGGUAACACUAACUGGAGGACCGAACCGACUAAUGUUGAAAAAUUAGCGGAUGACCUGUGGCUGGGGGUGAAAGGCCAAUCAAACCGGGAGAUAGCUGGUUCUCCCCGAAAGCUAUUUAGGUAGCGCCUCGUGAAUUCAUCUCCGGGGGUAGAGCACUGUUUCGGCUAGGGGGCCAUCCCGGCUUACCAACCCGAUGCAAACUGCGAAUACCGGAGAAUGUUAUCACGGGAGACACACGGCGGGUGCUAACGUCCGUCGUGAAGAGGGAAACAACCCAGACCGCCAGCUAAGGUCCCAAAGUCAUGGUUAAGUGGGAAACGAUGUGGGAAGGCCCAGACAGCCAGGAUGUUGGCUUAGAAGCAGCCAUCAUUUAAAGAAAGCGUAAUAGCUCACUGGUCGAGUCGGCCUGCGCGGAAGAUGUAACGGGGCUAAACCAUGCACCGAAGCUGCGGCAGCGACACUCAGGUGUUGUUGGGUAGGGGAGCGUUCUGUAAGCCUGUGAAGGUGGCCUGUGAGGGUUGCUGGAGGUAUCAGAAGUGCGAAUGCUGACAUAAGUAACGAUAAAGCGGGUGAAAAGCCCGCUCGCCGGAAGACCAAGGGUUCCUGUCCAACGUUAAUCGGGGCAGGGUGAGUCGACCCCUAAGGCGAGGCCGAAAGGCGUAGUCGAUGGGAAACGGGUUAAUAUUCCCGUACU
Molecule: ribosomal RNA, 1011 nt
Filed under: Salmonella enterica subsp. enterica serovar Paratyphi A
Lineage: Bacteria; Pseudomonadati; Pseudomonadota; Gammaproteobacteria; Enterobacterales; Enterobacteriaceae
Description: partial 23S ribosomal RNA
Rfam family: Bacterial large subunit ribosomal RNA
Source: RNAcentral